Molecule: ribosomal RNA, 253 nt
Filed under: uncultured bacterium
Lineage: Bacteria
Description: partial 16S ribosomal RNA
Rfam family: Bacterial small subunit ribosomal RNA
Source: RNAcentral
UACGUAGGGUGCAAGCGUUGUCCGGAAUUAUUGGGCGUAAAGAGCUCGUAGGCGGUUUGUCGCGUCUGCUGUGAAAACUCGGGGCUUAACUCCGGGCCUGCAGUGGGUACGGGCAGACUAGAGUGCGGUAGGGGAGACUGGAAUUCCUGGUGUAGCGGUGAAAUGCGCAGAUAUCAGGAGGAACACCGGUGGCGAAGGCGGGUCUCUGGGCCGUAACUGACGCUGAGGCGCGAAGGCGUGGGGAGCGAACGGG